RNA transcript from Gossypium raimondii (Peruvian cotton), 4665 nucleotides. It is a transcript of the gene named cyclin-T1-4, with no coding region annotated. Lineage: Eukaryota; Viridiplantae; Streptophyta; Magnoliopsida; Malvales; Malvaceae. The transcript is spliced from 7 exons. The record is from RefSeq and is a predicted model, not a curated record.
AAAAUAUUUGCUUUCAUUGGACUUCUCUCUUUUUUGAACUUGACCCAACUUCUCCUUUCUUUUUUCUCUCUCUCACCGUUUGCCCUUUCCCUUUUUCUUCUAAAAACCCUAUCUCAAUCUCAUUCUCAAUUUCGGAUCUUAUUCACGCCCUUUUUCUCCCUAUCUCUCUUGAUCUUUUUCAUUUUAUUCAGGUUUUGUUCCAGAAAGAAAUAAGGAAUGUCUUUUACACGGAAUUGUCGCAUGCAAGGAAGCGUUUUUCAGGAUGAUUACCGGUGCCCUUUCAAUAGGAAUAACUACAAUAAUUACAGUUCUGAUAACUACAGGAACGGCAACUGGAGUAGUGACCCUACCAGGAUAUUUAACCAUGCCCAAGAAUUCUUGGGGCAGUUUGGGGAGCAUAAUAGAGGUUAUCAUCAUGCACAACCAAAUUGUGCUCCUUCUUUGAAAAGGAGAAAGUUCUCUGCUGCUACUUGGGGAGAUAGUGGUAGAAACUAUCAGCCAUAUAGCCUGCAAUUCCCUACAGCUCCAUUGGAACCCAGCAAUUUCAUUCCUCCUCCUGUGAGAUCAACUGCUGAAGCCUCUACAUCUGUCAGUAAUAAACGUGAUAGAUCACAAUUGGAGGAUGAUGAAUCUGUCUUUAUGUCAAGGGAUGAUAUUGAGAGAUAUUCACCUUCAAGAAGAGAUGGUAUUGAUGCUCUUCGCGAGACACAUUUGCGUUAUUCUUAUUGUGCCUUCAUUCAGAACCUCGGGUUGCAGCUUGAGUUGCCACAAACUACCAUUGGCACUGCCAUGGUACUGUGCCAUCGGUUUUUUGUUCGAAGAUCACAUGCUUGCCAUGAUAGAUUUUUGAUUGCUACUGCUGCUCUUUUCCUUGCUGCAAAGUCGGAGGAGACGCCUCGCCCUUUGAACAAUGUGUUGAGAACUUCUUGUGAAAUAUUCCAUAAACAGGAUAUUACAUUCUUAUCCUACCUGCUCCCUGUUGAUUGGUUUGAGCAGUAUCGUGAACGUGUGAUUGAGGCAGAGCAAAUGAUCCUGACUACCUUAAAUUUUGAACUUAAUGUGCAACAUCCAUAUGCUCCACUUACAUCCAUUCUAAACAAACUAGGCCUUUCACAAACAGCCUUGGUGAACCUGGCAUUAAACUUGGUCAGUGAAGGGUACCUAUUUGGUUUAGUUAUUUCGUUGUGAUGUUUGAGUUAUUCCAGAGUAGUCUAAGAAUAAUGCUCAUUUAUUGGGAUUUGUUCUUGUGGCUAUGAUUGAGUAGCUGUUUUAUGCACUGGGAGUAGUGGGUGUUUCAAUCCCUUCAAUCAGCAGAUUUUAUGGGUUUUGACUUUAAAGGGAUUUUGGGUGGGGUGGGUGGCUGGGUGCAAUGCAGUCCUAUGAAUUGGUUGAAAAAAAGUUGAGUUGGGGUGUGAAGGGUAUGCAGGUUAUCUUCUUCCAUAUUGCCCAGAACUGGGUACUUCUGUCCAUAAUUUUCUUUAGCACAACUACUCUACGAAGUUAUUCUGGUAUGGCAUAUUGAUUCUUUUGGCAUGUCAUAUAAUUGCAGGGUCAUUUCAGGUUAGCGUGCACGCUUGUAUGAUAUUGUUAGCUGGCGGAUUGAUGUGCUGUUCAUGGAAACUUUUGUUUUAACAUCUGACGUUGAAUUAACAAUAAUUAUGGUUCUUUCCCAUGAUUCUACCCCAUCAACUUGGUCAUGGCUAUUAAAGCCACAUAACCUCAGAAUAUAGUCUUGUCAUUUUUGAUACCACUCACCUGGAGUCCAUACAAACUUUUUUAAAUCUGGCUGCCUCCCUGUGUCCAUCAGUAUUUGGAGAAAAAUUGUUGACUUGGAAGAGUCAAUAGUGGGUUCUUUCCUCGUUUUUUAAAUGCUAUCUGGUGAUGAUUUCCCUGGUUGUCAAGCCAUGGUUUGUUAUUAUUGUCCUGCAUUUCUCCCAUUCAAAAUGGAGAUUUUGGCAUGGAAUCAAAAACCGGACUGCUUUGGCAGGUACAUUUGAAGCAUGUGAGUGUUCACCAGUCAAAAACUGGAUUGACCGGUAUGGAAACGGAUUGAACCAGUAAAAAACGGUUUUUUAUUCAAUCCGUUUUCUAUGAACAUACAUAUAUUUUCAAAAUCUUAUUUGUAAUUAAUGGGCUUUGAACCUUUAAUCUCCUAGUUAUUCUAAAAAGGAACAAUACCUUUAAGCUGAAUGUUAUUCUAAAAAAGAAAACAAUAAUUAUUAACCAUGUUUAAUAUUUAUUUUAAAUUAGUUAUUUGAACAGUAAAAAACAAGAGUAAUCUCGCCUCCUAGUCCAACUUGUUGGACCUAAGACUGGAGAUUCGAUUGGUUUGACCUCCAGUUCUGUUUUUUAAAGAUUGGUUUUUUGGUUUAUCCAGAAAUCUUACCCUGUUUAACUAUUUUGUUUAAUACUUUAAGAUGAGAGGCUUCCAAUUUGAAUUUGCCAAUGGCAAUGUCAAUCUAAUGAAAGUUUUACAUUUUGAUUUAUAAGUACCAGCUGGACUCAGAAUCCUGUUGUGUCUGAGUUUCAUUCCUUUCAAACUUAAGAGUCUAUGUGCACAUGUUGGAGACUGAACUAACAUGCAUUAUCAAUCAUUGGGGAUGGGUUAGAUGCAAAAAGCGAAUUGUUCGUAGCCUGCUUCAGGUAGCAUGGCAUAAAGGAAACAAAUUCCAAAAAUACAUUGACAACACAUGUAUCUUCACCUUUUAUUCGUCUUUGUUGAAUAGAACAGUGAUUCUUGUCUAGGGUUUUGCCUUUCCUUCUGACCUGGCUCUAAACCUUGAAUUGAGUACAACCUUGUUGAAUUCUUGGUGUUGCUAAGCAUAGAGUUUGUUCGGCCUCUGGAAAGAAUCUUGUUUUUGCAGUACAUAAUUAGUGACUUCAACCCUCUUCUUUUUCUCCUUUUAAAAUAUUUCAGUGUAUUUUCUCCUCAAAUAUCUGUCUCUCAGCGGAAAUGAUUGUAUUGGUUUUUGUUUAAAGCUGGUUAAUUGGUGCUUCUAACUGACUUUUGAUGUUUCAUUUAGGUUUUUUCAUCCAUCUUAUGUGUAUUUCAUAAUUAUAUAACUACUCUAAGACACAUACAUAUAUUUAGGAUUAUAUUAUUUUCUAGAUCGAGAACACAAAGAUGAAAGAUGCCUCCUCCUUCAAGGAGGAUUCUGCAAACUAAAAGGGAACUUUUCUAAAUGUUGGUUUACAUCUUAAAUACCUUGGAGACAAUUGUGUAUGCUCAAUAAAUGUUAAUGGCCUUAUAGCUUAGAGCAUUUUGGUUAUGCUUUAUGUAUGGCAACUUUUAAACUAAAGCAGUCGACACUGUAAAGCAGUCAGUCAAAAUAAUGAUACCCCCUGUACUAGACUGAACUAGAAUAGGCUCAGCCAAAAACUCACUGCAGAUUUUACAGUCAAUUAGAGUAGAACUUAUGAAGCCUAUGUCAAUGGGUGUGCAGCACCAGGCAGCGUGAGUUCUUUAAUAUUUUCUGGGUCAGGCUUGUAUUGGGAAUAUUGGUAGGGUGUGGUCCUUGUUGGGACUUGUUCUUGUGAUUAUUUAAUGCACUCUGGUUCGUAUGGCAUGGUAUUCUACUGCCUAUUAUUUUAUGGAGGAAUACUUUCCCCAUAAUCAAGCAGAGUGCUUUGGUUGUGCUGGAAAGUUUUUUUAUCAUAGUCCCUAGUGGUUCUUCCACUUUCAUGCCAAGAUGGGGCGUUUUAAGGGGCUAAAUUUGAAGAACAAUAAAACUAUGGAAGUUAUAUAUAUACAUAUAUGAUGUGUGUGUGUACAGAGUUUUGUAUUUUUACCCAAUCGUGUACUAUUUAUUACUAUGUCUAUAGAUGGUGCCCCCAUUCUGUAUAGCUGGCCACAUUUUAUAUUUUUGCAAAAAGUUUAUUCUUUUUAAUCCAUUUGUCAUGGUCAUCCAUUUUUUUUUCUUUUUUUGGUUGAUUAACAAGGGGCAUCUGUAUAUACUAUUUUAUAGCCUACACUUAUAGUGUCAUGUUUUGCCUUCCUCAGUUGUCAUUCUGACAUUUCUUCAAAAUGUAUUCCUUGUAGUCCGUUAUCCUUCUCUUUUUGUCUAUUUUUUCUUGAGUUAUGGUUUACUAACGGACAUAUGUAUAUACUAAUUUACAAUGGUGCGUAUAAUAAUACAGAUAUAUUGUACCUUAUGCUACAUUUAUUAGGUGGUAAAAAUUGCUCAUAACAUCAUCUCGUGCCUGCUUUAGUUCCUUGUAAUUGGGGGGGUAGCAUGCAUGCAUGCUCCUUAACCACGAGCAGUCAAUCAUACUCGUUGAUGAGCCUGUUCGGAUAAUUGAUUGGCUAAAGAGACUUGCUUUGAUAUCUACAUUGCGCUCUAUGUCUGUUCCGUGUUUGAAUUGUGUAAUACUACUGGAGUUAGAAGCACUGCGGAUUGGACUGGAACUGAUUUGUUCUGUAGAUGGGUAUAAACAUAUUUGCUAUAGUUUUCAUACUCUGUCAGCCAUGGUGCAAGAGAUUCUUGGAAAAUAUUCUACCUGGUGUUGAUGCCAUUAGUUGGCUUAGGAGCUCAUUGUGGCUUCAAUUUAAGCCCCACCAUAUUGCUGCCGGAGCUGCUUAUCUCGCAGCCAAGUUUCUAAAUUUCGAUCUUGCUUCUUACCAUGAUAUCUGGCGAGAAUUUCAAACAACUCCAGCUAUUCUCCAAG